This 336-nucleotide ribosomal RNA is filed under the name Triticum aestivum (bread wheat). RNAcentral's name for it is "partial small subunit ribosomal RNA". The record is from RNAcentral. Lineage: Eukaryota; Viridiplantae; Streptophyta; Magnoliopsida; Poales; Poaceae.
CAGCAGAAGGGUGUGGAGUUAAACAAUCAGAAGGAGCAAAAGGAAUAUGUUGAUGUGAAGAUUGCUGAGCUAGAAACUGUAGUGGGAAACUUGAAGGCAGAGCUGUCAAAGAAAGAGGAGGAGAAGAAGAAGCUGAUGCAAAAGUAUGAUACUCUAGUGAACCUGACAGGUGCACAAGCCAAUGUGAUUAGGAACUUGAAGUUCAAUCAUUUGAAGGAGAAGGAAAGGCUGACAGAAGAGAGGCUUAAAUUGCAGCAUCACAUUUCUGAGCUUCAAAAGUCUGAGGAGAAGAUAAAGCAGAAGCUUCAGGGGGUGAAGGCCAUCUUAGAUGAGUAG